GACGUAGGGGGCAAGCGUUGUCCGGAAUGACUGGGCGUAAAGGGCGUGUAGGCGGCGCGGCACGUGGUGAUUGUAAGCCGUCGGCUCAGCCGGCGGACGGUUGCCAAACGGCCGGGCUGGAGGGCAGGAGAGGUGCGGGGAAUUCCUGGUGGAGCGGUGAAAUGCGUAGAGAUCAGGAAGAACACCGGUGGCGAAGGCGCCGCACUGGCCUGGCCCUGACGCUGAGGCGCGACAGCGUGGGGAGCGAACGGG
Molecule: ribosomal RNA, 252 nt
Filed under: uncultured Sulfobacillus sp.
Lineage: Bacteria; Bacillati; Bacillota; Clostridia; Eubacteriales; Clostridiales Family XVII. Incertae Sedis
Description: partial 16S ribosomal RNA
Rfam family: Bacterial small subunit ribosomal RNA
Source: RNAcentral